UGGGGAAUUUUGCGCAAUGGGGGAAACCCUGACGUAGCAACGCCGCGUGAGUGAUGAAGGCCUUCGGGUCGUAAAGCUCUGUCAGAGGGGAAGAAAUGCAGGGGUGCUAAUAUCAUCUUUGCUUGACGGUACCCUCAAAGGAAGCACCGGCUAACUCCGUGCCAGCAGCCGCGGUAAUACGGAGGGUGCGAGCGUUGUUCGGAAUUAUUGGGCGUAAAGCGCGUGUAGGCGGUUUGAUAAGUCUGAUGUGAAAGCCCCGGGCUCAACCUGGGAAGUGCAUUGGAAACUGUCAGACUUGAAUACGGGAGAGGGUAGUGGAAUUCCUAGUGUAGGAGUGAAAUCCGUAGAUAUUAGGAGGAACACCGGUGGCGAAGGCGGCUACCUGGACCGAUAUUGACGCUGAGACGUGAAAGCGUGGGGAGCAAACAG
Molecule: ribosomal RNA, 429 nt
Filed under: uncultured bacterium
Lineage: Bacteria
Description: bacterial SSU rRNA
Rfam family: Bacterial small subunit ribosomal RNA
Source: RNAcentral